GACAUUAGAAGAGUUAAACUGACAAGUGACAUCUAUAAACUCUUCAUUCAAUACUGAAAACGAAAAUAAACUAAAAAAUAUAAGUAACUGAGUGUAAUAAAUGCUGUAAUAUUUCUUUCACAAUAGGUAAUUCAUGGCGUAAAGUAUUUUUGCUGGUUAUUAUUUUCGUUAGCAGAAUCAUGGCUUGGCGAAGUCAUGGAGUAAACAAUGCUGAUAUGGUUCGAAAUUUACGAGCCAAUGGCAUCAUAAAAUCUGAUGCUGUAGCAAAUGCGAUGUUAGCUGUUGACCGAAAAAAUUACUGCCCUUCUGCUCCAUACCAUGAUUCACCACAAACGAUUGGAUACUCAGCCACCAUAAGUGCUCCACACAUGCAUGCUCAUGCAUUGGAAAGGUUAAAGAACCAACUAAUACCAGGAGAAAAAGCAUUGGAUGUAGGAUCUGGUUCUGGCUACUUGACUGCUUGUAUGGCCAUGAUGGUUGGAGAAGCUGGACGAGUUGUUGGGAUAGAUCACAUAACUGAGCUUGUAACAUUGGCUACUAAAAACAUUCAGAAUGACAACCCUACACUGCUCACUUCUGAAAGGGUUAAGUUGGUUGCUGGUGAUGGACGUCUAGGAUACCCAGCUGAUGGACCAUAUAAUGCUAUCCAUGUUGGAGCAGCUGCACCUACUCUACCACAACCUUUGGUUGAUCAACUUAAACCUGGUGGCAGGCUUGUUGUACCUAUUGGUCCUGAGGGUGGUGAACAACAUUUGACUCAGGUUGACAAGGCAGCUGACGGCACAACUACCAUAAAAAAACUAAUGAGUGUUAUCUAUGUACCGCUGACUGACAAGGACCACCAAUAUCGUAUGAUGAGGAACUUUUUUGGAUUUUUAAGAAAAAAGCCCUGACUAGUUUUUAUUACUUUUAUUUUCUGCUGUUACACCUAUAUUAUCAUUGUUAGAUCAUUUUGAUUUCAUAUAUACGAGUCCUUGGCGUUGAUAUUAUUUCCGAGUGAGACCAUUAUUACUAUUGAUCGUAAGUGUAAUCUACCUUGAAAUAUUAAAGUAGACGAGUACACACCUUAUAUCCAAUGAAUUUAUUGUAUUGUUCACACCAUUGCUUCUUAAAUUAUUGUAUGGUUUAAAUAAUAAAUUAUUUACAUAUCACA
Molecule: RNA transcript, 1153 nt
Organism: Helicoverpa armigera (cotton bollworm)
Lineage: Eukaryota; Metazoa; Arthropoda; Insecta; Lepidoptera; Noctuidae
Gene: Pcmt
Gene name: Protein-L-isoaspartate (D-aspartate) O-methyltransferase
Exons: 8
Source: RefSeq, a predicted model, not a curated record